RNAcentral lists this ribosomal RNA (497 nucleotides) under uncultured bacterium. RNAcentral describes it as "partial 16S ribosomal RNA". It matches the Rfam family "Bacterial small subunit ribosomal RNA", at positions 28 to 507 of the family's 1533-position model. The record is from RNAcentral.
GAUGAACGCUGGCGGCGUGCCUAAUACAUGCAAGUCGAGCGAACAGACGAGGAGCUUGCUCCUCUGACGUUAGCGGCGGACGGGUGAGUAACACGUGGAUAACCUACCUAUAAGACUGGGAUAACUUCGGGAAACCGGAGCUAAUACCGGAUAAUAUAUUGAACCGCAUUGUUCAAUAGUGAAAGACGGUUUUGCUGUCACUUAUAGAUGGAUCCGCGCCGCGUUAGCUAGUUGGUAAGGUAACGGCUUACCAAGGCGACGAUGCGUAGCCGACCUGAGAGGGUGAUCGGCCACACUGGAACGGAGCCAGGGUCCAGACUCCUACGGGAGGCAGCAGUAGGGAAUCGUACGCAAUGGGCGAAAGCCUGACGGAGCAACGCAGCGUGAGUGAUGAAGGUCUUCGGAUCGUAAAAAUCUGUUAUUAGGGAAGAACAAAUGUGUAAGUAACUAUGCACGUAUUGACGGUACCUAAUCAGAAAGCCACGGCUAACUACGUG